AGGCCAGUAGCUCGAAUUGGCAGAGCAACGGACUCCAAAUCCGUGGGUUGGGGGUUCGAAUCCCUCCUGGCCUGCCA
RNAcentral lists this transfer RNA (77 nucleotides) under Thiohalorhabdus denitrificans. Its description in RNAcentral is "tRNA_Trp_CCA". It matches the Rfam family "tRNA". Rfam says of the family: Transfer RNA (tRNA) molecules are approximately 80 nucleotides in length. Their secondary structure includes four short double-helical elements and three loops (D, anti-codon, and T loops). Lineage: Bacteria; Pseudomonadati; Pseudomonadota; Gammaproteobacteria; Thiohalorhabdales; Thiohalorhabdaceae. The record is from RNAcentral. RNAcentral also lists the same sequence under 1 other name.